GACGAACGCUGGCGGCGUGCUUAACACAUGCAAGUCGAACGGAAAGGCCCUGCUUGCAGGGUACUCGAGUGGCGAACGGGUGAGUAACACGUGGGUGAUCUGCCCUGCACUUCGGGAUAAGACUGGGAAACUGGGUCUAAUACCGGAUAGGAGCCAUUUUUAGUGUGAUGGUUGGAAAGUUUUUUCGGUGUAGGAUGAGCUCGCGGCCUAUCAGCUUGUUGGUGGGGUAAUGGCCUACCAAGGCGGCGACGGGUAGCCGGCCUGAGAGGGUGGACGGCCACAUUGGGGCUGAGAUACGGCCCAGACUCCUACGGGAGGCAGCAGUGGGGAAUAUUGCACAAUGGGCGCAAGCCUGAUGCAGCGACGCCGCGUGGGGGAUGACGGCCUUCGGGUUGGAAACUCCUUUCGCUAGGGACGAAGCUUUUUGUGACGGUACCUAGAUAAGAAGCACCGGCUAACUACGUG
This 465-nucleotide ribosomal RNA is filed under the name uncultured bacterium. Its description in RNAcentral is "partial 16S ribosomal RNA". It matches the Rfam family "Bacterial small subunit ribosomal RNA", at positions 28 to 507 of the family's 1533-position model. The record is from RNAcentral.